UAUGAUCCAGAGUACCACGGGACACGUGAAACCCUGUGGGAAGCAGGAGGGACCACCCUCCAAGGCUAAAUACUACCUAGUGACCGAUAGCGUAUAGUACCGUGAGGGAAAGGUGAAAAGAACCCCGUGAGGGGAGUGAAAUAGAACCUGAAACCCUGCACUUACAAGCUGUGGAAGCACAUUUCUUGUGUGACCGCGUACUUUUUGUAGAACGGGCCAACGAGUUACGUUAAGUA
This 236-nucleotide ribosomal RNA is filed under the name Clostridioides difficile. RNAcentral describes it as "partial 23S ribosomal RNA". It matches the Rfam family "Bacterial large subunit ribosomal RNA", at positions 401 to 639 of the family's 2925-position model. Lineage: Bacteria; Bacillati; Bacillota; Clostridia; Peptostreptococcales; Peptostreptococcaceae. The record is from RNAcentral.